UGAACGGUCAAGGUAUUCACGAAGGAACACGAUUGAGGCUACGAGGUCCGAUGGAUUUCGAUCGAUUGUAGGCUGAGGUUGCAUCUCCGGGGUCGACGAGACCGAAGCGACGAAGGAACAAAGAAGCAACCUCGUGCUCCCUCUCGUCCGACUGCGAGGUGCAAAGUCCAGGCAUUGCAAGCAGCAGUAUCAUCAAAGACGAGACCUUCGGACGUCUGUGUUCGAUGGGAACAGAAGAGAAAGAAAGUGAGGGGAGGAGGUCCGAAAGGGAGUCCAGGAUUGUCGAUCGGUGGUGCUUCUGUCCGGCUGUGAGGUGCAAGGCAUGGGAUUUGGUGUGGCUAAGAGGUUGUGAUAGGAAGGAGACCAGAAAAGGGGUCGGCUAGAACAAGGAAAUCAGGUGGGAGCUUCGUUGAGUUUUGCUCGACGGGAAGAAGGGAAAAGGUCUCCGAAAUGAUUGUGAUCAAAAGGUGUUGGAGUGUUGUUCUCCUUUUGUUUAAACGAUCAAUGGAAGGGAAUGACAGCAAGCAAACCCAUCUCUGGUGCUGGUACGAUGCAGUAGGAUAAUUGAACAAUGUUUAGGAACACAUGUCCAACCCGUUCACGAGUUCAAGAGAGAAAGAAAAGGAAAUAGAAAAGGAAAUAGGUGGAAAUGCUAAGAAAAUAAAAGAAAGACAAAAUUGCAAAAAUGGUCCCUGUGGUAUGCAAAAUUUUGGGAUUUUAGUCCAAA
Lactuca sativa (garden lettuce) is the source of this 727-nucleotide long non-coding RNA. RefSeq lists it as uncharacterized. NCBI's taxonomy places the organism in Eukaryota, Viridiplantae, Streptophyta, Magnoliopsida, Asterales, Asteraceae. The record is from RefSeq and is a predicted model, not a curated record.